This is a non-coding RNA of Paramuricea clavata, 296 nucleotides long. Lineage: Eukaryota; Metazoa; Cnidaria; Anthozoa; Malacalcyonacea; Plexauridae. The record is from the annotation of a GenBank genome assembly.
CUUCCAUACGCCGACAUGUAUGUUGAAUAACUAGCCUUUAUGUUUUUCGCUGCCAUGAAGUUUUUGCUCAUCAGCGAUUUAUCGAGUGCGAUUCGCGAAGCGCGUUUCGCGAUUACGCGAAAGCAGUAAACAAAUUAUUCGAGCGAGUCAUUACGCGUAACGAGCGAGAGGUCGCGAUAGCGCCCCUCGCAAGGUUUCGCGUCGCGCUUCUCGCUCGAACAUUCUCGAAACUCGCUCGAAAAAAAUGUAUAGUUUCCGUUGGACGGUACUGUAAUUUAUCAUAAGUUCAUAUGUCA